Molecule: long non-coding RNA, 226 nt
Organism: Bradysia coprophila
Lineage: Eukaryota; Metazoa; Arthropoda; Insecta; Diptera; Sciaridae
Source: RefSeq, a predicted model, not a curated record
UAAUCAAAUUUUUCAGUUUUUUUCAGCAACAAUAUCGAAGUCACGAACUUCCUUUCUUUUUAGCAAUGUUUCGCACACCAGAUGCUAUUAGUCGGUUAAGGUAUGCAUCCUUGAUGCGCUCAGAAUAAGAAACAGCAUCAAGCUGACAUUUAGAUACACGCUGAAUGAACAAAUUUCUGAUUUGUUCAACCUUUCCCGGUGUCAUCGGAUCUUUGCCUGGAAUUAU